CAAGCAUACAUACAGAGGUGCCCAGCACGUGCCCUCCAGCAGCAUUCUCGUCACCAAGCAUACAUACAGAGGUACCCAGCACGUGCCCUCCAGCAGCAUUCUCGUCACCAAGCAUACAUACAGAGGUGCCCAGCACGUGCCCUCCAGCAGCAUUUUCGUCACCAAGCAGACAUACAG
Long non-coding RNA from Ornithodoros turicata, 177 nucleotides. RefSeq lists it as uncharacterized. NCBI's taxonomy places the organism in Eukaryota, Metazoa, Arthropoda, Arachnida, Ixodida, Argasidae. The transcript is spliced from 4 exons. The record is from RefSeq and is a predicted model, not a curated record.